CUUGAGCGAGCCGAGCCACAACGGCUCACCACCAGCCCGAUCCUGGCCAUACGUCGCCAGCAGCGCCUGCGCCUC
Molecule: non-coding RNA, 75 nt
Organism: Actinoplanes regularis
Lineage: Bacteria; Bacillati; Actinomycetota; Actinomycetes; Micromonosporales; Micromonosporaceae
Rfam family: ASpks TB sRNA
Source: Rfam